This 138-nucleotide ribosomal RNA is filed under the name uncultured eukaryote. Its description in RNAcentral is "partial 18S ribosomal RNA". It matches the Rfam family "Eukaryotic small subunit ribosomal RNA", at positions 1299 to 1458 of the family's 1831-position model. The record is from RNAcentral.
UGGUGGGUUGCCUUGUCAGGUUGAUUCCGGUAACGAACGAGACCUCAGCCUGCUAAAUAGUCACAGUCUCUUCGGGGGCUGGCAGACUUCUUAGAGGGACUAUUAGCGACUAGCUAAUGGAAGCAUGAGGCAAUAACA